This 348-nucleotide ribosomal RNA is filed under the name Triticum aestivum (bread wheat). Its description in RNAcentral is "partial small subunit ribosomal RNA". Lineage: Eukaryota; Viridiplantae; Streptophyta; Magnoliopsida; Poales; Poaceae. The record is from RNAcentral.
UUGGAGACCAUUGACCACCUCCUUGCUGGAAGCCCAUUCUCCCGAGUUGUCUGGCAUAGCAUCCUGGCCGCAUGCAGACUCACGGUAGACAUCCCGACUCCUACGUCUCGGUUCAUGGACUGGUGGAGUUCGGCUACGGCGACCUCCCGUCAGUCCCUUCGCAAAGGUGUUGCUUCCCUGGGCGUUCUGGUGGCUUGGAGCAUUUGGAAGCAUCGUAAUGCUGUCAUCUUCGAUGCUGCUACACCUUCCACAGAUCGUCUCACACAAACCAUCCUCGACGAGGCACGCACGUGGGCUCUGGCCAGAGCUAGAGGAUUGGCGGCGUUUUCUAUUUUUGAGCCACCAUAG